This 392-nucleotide unclassified non-coding RNA is filed under the name soil metagenome. RNAcentral describes it as "partial contains 5.8S ribosomal RNA, internal transcribed spacer 2, and large subunit ribosomal RNA". The stretch from base 1 to 123 matches the Rfam family "5.8S ribosomal RNA", at positions 35 to 154 of the family's 154-position model. The record is from RNAcentral.
GAUGAAGAAACGCAGCGAAAUGCGAUACUUGGUGUGAAUUGCAGAAUCCCGUGAACCAUCGAGUCUUUGAACGCAAGUUGCGCCCGAAGCCAUUAGGCCGAGGGCACGCCUGCCUGGGCGUCACACGUCGUUGCCCCCCCAUCUACUCCUUCGGGAUUGCGGGGGGCGGAUGAUGGCCUCCCGUGCGCCUCGCCGCGCGGUUGGCAUAAAUGCCAAGUCCUCGGCGACGCACGCCACGACAAUCGGUGGUUGCGAAACCUCGGUUGCCCGUCGUGUGCGGUCGUCGCGCAUCGAGGGCUCGAAAAAAUUGCCGGGUUCCGGCUCGGCUUUCAACGCGACCCCAGGUCAGGCGGGGUUACCCGCUGAAUUUAAGCAUAUCAAUAAGCGGAGGA